RNAcentral lists this long non-coding RNA (2321 nucleotides) under Lupinus angustifolius (narrow-leaved blue lupine). Its description in RNAcentral is "long non-coding RNA (LANG_LNC003586)". The record is from RNAcentral. Lineage: Eukaryota; Viridiplantae; Streptophyta; Magnoliopsida; Fabales; Fabaceae.
UAAAUGACAUCUCACGGUUUUAAACUAUAGACAUUCUCCAUUAAAAUCAUCAAUUAUUACAUGCUUUCACAAAAGAAACGAAUGUCUAAGCUUUAACGUGCUUAUGUGAAGUAAUGAUCAUGAAUCAAAAGAAUUUGAACAAGUUACAAUUUCUAGCCAAUAAAAAAAUCAAAACAGUGUACAAAAAGGAAAUAGGUGAAUACACUUCAAACCCCCAUCAUAGUAGGAACCACCUGGCUACAUGAAGGACAAUGAAUAUAUCCUACAUUAUUACAAGUGUCAAUUAGUCUCUCGCAGGAGCUCUCUUUAAACAUAUUUCGUUGGCAUAAUGAAACCUUAAAUAUUCGGACACACUUAAAUUGGGUUUCUUCUAUUUCCAAGAUUGACCCUGGCAAAUUUGAUGAAGCCUCGGUUGUAGCAAUAAAGAUUGAGGAACUUGAGAUGCAAGGAAGAAUGGUUGUAUGAAUGAGGUGCUAGCCAAGGCGGGAGUUAGUGCAAAUAUCUAGUCAACACAAACACCCAUAUCAGAGUAGAAAAAGCUAUCACAAACACAUAUAUACCAAAGGGCAGAGCUGUUACAAUCAGCCAAAUGGAAUCAGUAAAAGGCAAACCAGCAAAUAGCCAAUCUCACUUACGAACCAGUAGGGGACAUCCGUAGGUUGUCAAUCCAAUCAUAAACCAGCCAUAAAGAACAAAGGCAGUUCAUAAAUCAAUCAAUUCAUUUACAAACAACACAUUACUAUUUUCAGUAUAAAUUCUAGCAGGCAGAAAUCAGAGAGUUCAGGUGAAAGGCAAUGAUUAUACUGGCAGUUACAGCAUCAAUUAGCAAUGAAGGCUAAAAUAAAUCAAUGUAAAACAGUCCAUUUAUGGCUCACAAUGGACAGCCUAGGAGUCAAUCAUCAUGUGACAGUUUUGGCAAUUCAAGAGGCUCAUAAGGCUAUAUAAGCAUACCUUCAAACAGUAUAAAGGGGGGACAUUACCAUAGUGAGGGGACAAUCGAAAACAGAGCAAAAAACUGGUCAUAUAGCAGUAUAAGUACAAAGAAAAAGAGAUAUAAGAGAUACACACAAAAGGAGAGAGAAACGAAAAGAGAGAUAUCACAAACAUGCACCUACUAGUCACAGAUACAUCAUCAUAAAAAUCAAGAGGGGGACUCCGUGAGAAAAGAGAACACAGAAAUAGGAAAGAUCAAGCAAAUACACAACAGUCCAAAUACACACAGAGGCGGGAACCAGAGAACAAAAGGCAGGAACCAGAGAACAAAAGGCAGGAACCAGAGAACAAAAGCAGGAACUCAACAGGAAGUCAGUAAAAGCAACGUGUAGAUAAGAACACAUUCAGGGACACACAACAUAUAUAGGCAUACAUAACCACAAGAGAAAUCAGCCAAGAGAUAUUGUAAUAAGGCAUCCAGAAACGUAAGAGCAGAAAGGAGAUUGCAACAAAACAUAGAACAUCUUACAUCAUAGCAAAAAACAACACUCACGAGGAAUAAAAGGAAGAAGCAUAACUCAGGUAAGUCACUCCUUUUUUUUUUUCUUCUUUCUUUUUCUCAAAUAAUAACAAACAGAAACACAUUUCAGGCAAUAUGUAUCAAGAGAAUGUACAUCACACAUUCAAAUACUCAUGUCAUAAAAUUAAGGGUUCAGUUCAUAUUCACAGCUAGAGUAUAAAGAGUAUAAAUAAAACGAUAUGGUAAUUACAGUAUGAGAACGAAUUCUACAUCAACCUAGUACCAAUAGAUGACCAUGCCAAAUCCAGAAUACACUUCGGUUUAAUCGAUGUGGCAUAUAUCUUUGAUACCCCCUAAUCGGUUCGGAUUCAGCCAUUAACGGCUUUAUACUUGCUGCACCGGAAAUAAACCAUGAUGCACUAUCUUUCUUACCCAUCUCGAAUCAGAGAUGCUUCGGGUUGAGAACUCCAUGAACCACCAUCGGGAUAUAAGCCCCAUUGCUGCGAAAAUUGAAUAAAAAGAGAUAAGAGAUAAAAAGGGUAACCGAAAUAGAGGAUGUAAUUACCAUUCCUGGUGCCAUCUUGUUCGCCGCCACGAACCGCCGUAUGAGCAAGAAUCCGAAUCUGAGCCACCAUAGAGGUUAAGGUCUUCAUCGAUGAGUAUCAUCGCCAACCAUUACAGUAACCCGUAUUUCCCACCGUGACUCCAACUUCAUCAACCCAACCACCCCAUCACCAUCGCGCCACCUCCUUGGCCACCGCGUGAGAAAGGAAGGUUUGUAGGGAUUUCCCCAAAUUGGCUUCGUGAAUAAUGGAAACCUGGGAAUUAUCCCUUCCUUAUUUUUUUACACGUGAGCUUUGGCUUAGUU